CCGCUGCCGGCGACGUUGCGAGAAGUCCACUGAACCUUAUCAUUUAGAGGUGGAAGAAGUCGUAACAAGGUUUCCGUAGGUGAACCUGCGGAAGGAUCAUUGUCGAUGCCCCACGAAAAGAACGACCCGUGAAUCGGUUGAUCGGAAUCUCGAGGGGGGGCGGAAGGGCGCCUGAAGCCUCCCCCCGAUCGUCGGGGGCGCGGUCCGCGCGGCGCGGGCCUAGCCCCCGACUUAAGAACCAACCCCGGCGCCUCAGGCGCCAAGGAAACGCGAUAUUGCGAGCGCGCUCCUCUGGCGGCACGGAAGACGUGCCGGUGUGCCAGGGUUGCGCCAUUGGUCAUUGUGCAUCCGAAACGACUCUCGGCAACGGAUAUCUCGGUUCUCGCAUCGAUGAAGAACGCAGCGAAAUGCGAUACUUGGUGUGAAUUGCAGAAUCCCGUGAACCAUCGAGUCUUUGAACGCAAGUUGCGCCCGAGGCCGCUCGGCCGAGGGCACGUCUGCCUGGGUGUCACGCAACGUCGCCGAUGCCGGGUGCUCCGGCAUGGCGGAUGAUGGCUUCCCGGGAGCCCGGUCUCCCGGCCGGCCGGAAAGAAGGCCCCGAUGGGAUGGCCGCCACGAUCGACGGUGGAUGAGUGAAGGAGAUGCGCUCGAUACCAUCCGUGCGUGAGCCGUCCCACGAGUCGGGCCCCUUGGAUUAGGGCUGCGGAAGCAGAGCCCUCGUCACGAACGCGACCCCAGGUCAGGCGGGGCCACCCGCUGAGUUUAAGCAUAUCAAUAAGCGGAGGAA
RNAcentral lists this ribosomal RNA (787 nucleotides) under Pentaclethra macrophylla. RNAcentral describes it as "eukaryotic LSU rRNA". The stretch from base 356 to 511 matches the Rfam family "5.8S ribosomal RNA". Lineage: Eukaryota; Viridiplantae; Streptophyta; Magnoliopsida; Fabales; Fabaceae. The record is from RNAcentral.